GUUGGCAGCAGCCACAGGCGAACCUCUCCAGAUGAUCUUAACAGGCAGUGGGGCUCAUGGCGAAGAAGACGUUCUCUUAAAUACCCAGGGCCUAAACGGUUUAGGGCAUUAUAGUUCCUCUGGUUCCCUAUCAAUGAGGUUCAGCACUUCAAAGCGGUUCCUGAUGUUCUCCUUUAAAAUGGCCAUACAGUCUGAUUGUUUUCCUCUUUACCAUUUCCAGCAUUGGCAUUCCAACCUCCAACCACCACCAGCACAUCCUGCUUGCAUGUUCUGUCAAUUGCAGACUGGACUUGAGCAUAAAACUCAUCAAUUUCCUCUUCUUCUGCAUCAGUUGUUGGGGCAUAGACUUGGAAAACAGUCAUGUUAAAAGGUGUCCAUGAAAUCUAAUUGAUAUUAGUCGGUCACUGACCGCAUUGUACCCAAUUACUGUCAUUGCUAUAUCCUUCCUGACUAUGAGAGCAACACUGUUCCUUUGUUUUUCGUGACCUGAGUACUAAACGGUAUGAUUUUCUGACUGAAA
Hemicordylus capensis (graceful crag lizard) is the source of this 520-nucleotide long non-coding RNA. RefSeq lists it as uncharacterized. The record is from RefSeq and is a predicted model, not a curated record. The transcript is spliced from 3 exons. Lineage: Eukaryota; Metazoa; Chordata; Lepidosauria; Squamata; Cordylidae.